RNAcentral lists this ribosomal RNA (497 nucleotides) under uncultured bacterium. Its description in RNAcentral is "partial 16S ribosomal RNA". It matches the Rfam family "Bacterial small subunit ribosomal RNA", at positions 28 to 507 of the family's 1533-position model. The record is from RNAcentral.
GACGAACGCUGGCGGCGUGCCUAAUACAUGCAAGUUGAGCGCUGAAGGUUGGUACUUGUACCAACUGGAUGAGCAGCGAACGGGUGAGUAACGCGUGGGGAAUCUGCCUUUGAGCGGGGGACAACAUUUGGAAACGAAUGCUAAUACCGCAUAAAAACUUUAAACACAAGUUUUAAGUUUGAAAGAUGCAAUUGCAUCACUCAAAGAUGAUCCCGCGUUGUAUUAGCUAGUUGGUGAGGUAAAGGCUCACCAAGGCGAUGAUACAUAGCCGACCUGAGAGGGUGGUCGGCCACAAUGGGACCGAGACACGGCCCAAACCCCUACGGGAGGCAGCAGUAGGGAAUCUUCGGCAAUGGGCGGAAGGCUGACCGAGGAACGCCGCGGGAGGGAAGAAAGGUUUCGGAUCGUAAAACUCUGUUGGUAGAGAAGGACGUUGGGGAGAGUGGAAAGCUCAUCAAGUGACGGUAACUACCCAGAAAGGGACGGCUAACUACGUG